CACAGAGGGUGCGAGCGUUGUCCGGAAUUACUGGGCGUAAAGGGCGCGUAGGCGGCUUGGUAAGUCGGGGGUGAAAGUCAGCGGCUCAACCGCUGGACUGCCUUCGAGACUGCCUGGCUUGAGCAUGGUAGAGGCUGGCGGAAUUCCCGGUGUAGCGGUGGAAUGCGUAGAGAUCGGGAAGAACAUCGGUGGCGAAGGCGGCCAGCUGGGCCACUGCUGACGCUGAUGCGCGACAGCGUGGGGAGCAAACAGG
Molecule: ribosomal RNA, 253 nt
Filed under: uncultured bacterium
Lineage: Bacteria
Description: partial 16S ribosomal RNA
Rfam family: Bacterial small subunit ribosomal RNA
Source: RNAcentral